RNAcentral lists this long non-coding RNA (619 nucleotides) under Pan troglodytes (chimpanzee). Its description in RNAcentral is "long non-coding RNA NONPTRT013099". The record is from RNAcentral. Lineage: Eukaryota; Metazoa; Chordata; Mammalia; Primates; Hominidae.
UUGACUGACACUCCCCAUUUCCACCAAGUCUGGGGUAGACUACUCCUAUGGGAUCCCACAACAACUAUAAUUACCCCUAUUGGAGCCCUAAGUACAUUUUACUGCAAUUGCCUGUUUAUCUGUCUCUUGGCCAUUAAAUAUAUAAGCUCUUUGACCUGCUUGGACAUAUUUGUAUCCUGAGCAUCCAGGAGACCCUCAAGAGUUCACUGAGGGCUGGGCAGAGUGGCUUGCACCUGUAAUCCCAGCACUUUGGGCGGCCCGGGCGAGAGGACCUCAAGCCCAGAAGGUUGAGGCUGCAGUGAGAUAUGAUCAUGCCACUGCACUCCAGCCUGGAUGACAGAAUGAGACCCUGUCUGUUAAAAGAAAUUCUGUCUCCAUUGUUAUUGAAAUGUUAGAAUAUUAGAAGCAUAUUCUUUCUCACACCAAAGUUACUGGCUUCAGGAUCUGAGCCAGCUGAUUUCUAUGGGCACUCUCUCCUGGAAAACAUUAGGGUGCUUUUUGGAGACAUGGAGGGCUGUGUGUUUAUUUUUAAAAAUUCAUUUCCUAGGCCAGGUGUGGUGGCUCACACCUGGAAUCCCAGCACUUUGGGAGGCUGAGGCGAGUUUAUCAUCUGAGGUCA